RNAcentral lists this transfer RNA (69 nucleotides) under human gut metagenome. It matches the Rfam family "tRNA". Rfam says of the family: Transfer RNA (tRNA) molecules are approximately 80 nucleotides in length. RNAcentral also lists the same sequence under 1 other name. The record is from RNAcentral.
AGGUGUAGCGCAGUUUGGUAGCGUGUUUGGUUCGGGACCAAAAGGUCGCAGGUUCAAAUCCUGUCACCU